RNAcentral lists this non-coding RNA (29 nucleotides) under Rattus norvegicus (Norway rat). Lineage: Eukaryota; Metazoa; Chordata; Mammalia; Rodentia; Muridae. The record is from RNAcentral.
UGCACAUGUGCAUAUGGAGAUCAGAAGUU